GCGGCGGUAGCUCAGUUGGUAGAGCGCGAGCUUCCCAAGCUCGAGGUCGCGGGUUCGAGGCCCGUCCGCCGCU
This 73-nucleotide transfer RNA is filed under the name Thermoleophilaceae bacterium. RNAcentral describes it as "tRNA-Gly". It matches the Rfam family "tRNA". Rfam says of the family: Transfer RNA (tRNA) molecules are approximately 80 nucleotides in length. Their secondary structure includes four short double-helical elements and three loops (D, anti-codon, and T loops). Further hydrogen bonds mediate the characteristic L-shaped molecular structure. tRNAs have two regions of fundamental functional importance: the anti-codon, which is responsible for specific mRNA codon recognition, and the 3' end, to which the tRNAs corresponding amino acid is attached (by aminoacyl-tRNA synthetases). tRNAs cope with the degeneracy of the genetic code in two manners: having more than one tRNA (with a specific anti-codon) for a particular amino acid; and 'wobble' base-pairing, i.e. permitting non-standard base-pairing at the 3rd anti-codon position. Lineage: Bacteria; Bacillati; Actinomycetota; Thermoleophilia; Thermoleophilales; Thermoleophilaceae. RNAcentral also lists the same sequence under 2 other names. The record is from RNAcentral.